Hippocampus comes (tiger tail seahorse) is the source of this 181-nucleotide long non-coding RNA. RefSeq lists it as uncharacterized. The transcript is spliced from 2 exons. NCBI's taxonomy places the organism in Eukaryota, Metazoa, Chordata, Actinopteri, Syngnathiformes, Syngnathidae. The record is from RefSeq and is a predicted model, not a curated record.
UGUUUGUAUUUAUGUUGCCCACAACGUCCACCUGUUCUAGUGACGGCUUCUUACAACACACAUAAAACGAGCCCGAGAGAGAUCGUUUCAAAACUUUUCCCGCCCUGUACAAGUUAGAGGGCACGUGAAUGGCGGGUAAAGUUUUGAAGCAAUUUCUCCUGGUCUCAUUUAUUCACAAUCG